GACGAACGCUGGCGGCGUGCUUAACACAUGCAAGUCGAACGGAAAGGCCCUGCUUUUGUGGGGUGCUCGAGUGGCGAACGGGUGAGUAACACGUGAGUAACCUGCCCUUGACUUUGGGAUAACUUCAGGAAACUGGGGCUAAUACCGGCUAGGAGCUCCUGCUGCAUGGUGGGGGUUGGUAAGUUUCGGCGGUUGGGGAUGGACUCGCGGCUUAUCAGCUUGUUGGUGGGGUAGUGGCUUACCAAGGCUUUGACGGGUAGCCGGCCUGAGAGGGUGACCGGCCACAAUGGGCCUGCGAUAAGGCCCAGACGACUACGGGAGGCAGUAGGGGGGAAUAUUACACAGUGGGAGGAAGCCUGAUGCAGAAACGCCGCGUGCGGGAUGACGUCUUGCUGGUUGUAAACAGCUGCCGCCUGUGACGAAGCGUGAGUGACGGUAAUGGGUAAAGAAGCACCGGCUAACUACGUG
Molecule: ribosomal RNA, 468 nt
Filed under: uncultured bacterium
Lineage: Bacteria
Description: partial 16S ribosomal RNA
Rfam family: Bacterial small subunit ribosomal RNA
Source: RNAcentral